RNAcentral lists this transfer RNA (50 nucleotides) under Turnera melochioides var. melochioides. RNAcentral's name for it is "partial tRNA-Tyr". The record is from RNAcentral. Lineage: Eukaryota; Viridiplantae; Streptophyta; Magnoliopsida; Malpighiales; Passifloraceae.
UGGGCCGAGCUGGAUUUGAACCAGCGUAGACAUUGUGCCAACGAAUUUAC